Molecule: ribosomal RNA, 509 nt
Filed under: Clostridioides difficile
Lineage: Bacteria; Bacillati; Bacillota; Clostridia; Peptostreptococcales; Peptostreptococcaceae
Description: bacterial LSU rRNA
Rfam family: Bacterial large subunit ribosomal RNA
Source: RNAcentral
GUUGCCCUGGGUGGCGAGCUGAGGGUGUGAAUCCCACAGGCCGUACACCCAAGGUUUCCAGGGGGAGGGUCGUCCGCCCUGGAUUAGUCGGGACAUAAGCUGAGGCGGAAAGGCGUAGGUGAUGGACAACAGGGUGAUAUUCCUGUACUACCGAUAACCGUUUGAGAGAAGGGAUGACACAGUAGGAUAAGCGAAGCACACUGUUGGUUAUGUGUGCCCAAGCAUUGAGGCAGUCAAAGUAGGUAAAUCCGCUUUGAUAAUGCUGGGAUGUGAUGGGGAGCGAAAGUUAGUAGCGAAGUAGCUGAGUUCACACUGUCAAGAAAAGUCUCUAUCGAGGUUAAAGGUACCCGUACCGCAAACGGACCAAGGAGGGUGAGGAGAGUAACCUAAGGCCAGCGAGAGAACGAUUGGUACGGAACUCGGCACAAGGACCCCGUCACCUAGGGAUCAGAGGUUGCAGCCUCAGGGGGCCGCAGAGAAGAGGCCCAAGCGACUGUUUACCACAAACA